RNAcentral lists this ribosomal RNA (174 nucleotides) under Allobacillus halotolerans. Its description in RNAcentral is "partial 16S ribosomal RNA". It matches the Rfam family "Bacterial small subunit ribosomal RNA", at positions 1363 to 1533 of the family's 1533-position model. The record is from RNAcentral. Lineage: Bacteria; Bacillati; Bacillota; Bacilli; Caryophanales; Bacillaceae.
UGAAUACGUUCCCGGGCCUUGUACACACCGCCCGUCACACCACGAGAGUUGGCAACACCCGAAGUCGGUGGGGUAACACAAUACGUGAGCCAGCCGCCGAAGGUGGGGCCAAUGAUUGGGGUGAAGUCGUAACAAGGUAGCCGUAUCGGAAGGUGCGGCUGGAUCACCUCCUUU